UUUUAGAGAAAAAAGAAUAGCUGUUUCCAUCCUUUAAAUUUUGUAUUUGGGAAACAAGGGGGAUAACCCCUUAUUCCCCUCCCAUGUUCUCCAACCAAACAAGGCCGAACAACUUUAACGGGUUGUUCUAAAAUAACCUAUUUUAAUCGGAAUAACUUGUUCCAUUCAAUUCUUCUACCAUUUAGUUAAUUAAUUUAUUAGUUAUAAUUAAUUAGCUAAUUAAAAAUUAAUAACUUAAUGUGUUUAUACAUAAACUAAUAUUUAUAUUGAUCAACCAAUAAUAUUUUGACUAAUCUAAUUAAUUUCUUCACUAACUAUCUAACUAAAAUAAUUUACUAACUAAUUAAAAAGUUAAAUUACUUUUUAUAUUUAAUUAAUUAAUUAAUAUAUUUUUAUUAUCAUAUACAAUAUUCAUAGCUAUAAAUUUAUUAGUUUAUUGAAUUAUUUUUAAUUAAUAUUUUUUAUUUUAAUUAAUUAAAUAAAAUAUUUUUAAUUUAAAAUUAUAACUCUUAUUCCCCCUGUUCCAAUUUAACCAUCCAAAUACUGUUUACCUUAUUUUCAGGAACAAACUAAUUUCAUCUAAAUACAAAAUUGGUCUAGUUACUGCUUACAUCUGAACAAUUGUACUUAUCCCUGAAAAAAGCAGUUCUUAUUUAUACCCUAAUGAUGCUUAAGAAUUAAGAACAAGUUUGUUCUUCUCUUAUUUUAUUAGAUAAAUAGAUAUAUAAAUAAAUAUAUUAAUAUAAAUAUAUCUAUGAUAAUAUAUUUAUUCUUAAAUCUUAUUAUAAAAUAAAAAUUAACUAAAGUUGAUAUAUUAUUUAUUUUAUUGUUUUAUAAUUGAUAUAUUAAUAUUUUAAUUAUUUUAUUUUUAUUAAGUAUUAUAUAUAUUAAAUUAUUUUUUAUAUAUUAUAUAUAUUUUUUAAAUUUGUAUUGAAAUUCAUACUAUUAUUAAUUAAAAUUAUAAGGAUAUUGUUAGUAUUAUAUUUUAUUCAUUCCAUAUAUUAUGGAUAAAUUAUAUAAAAUAAAUUUUUACAUAAAAUAAAUUAUUAUAUAAAAUAAAAUAAAUAUACUGAUAUAAAUUAAAAUGUUAUGUAAAAUAUUAUAUUAUAAAUUGUUAUAUAAAAUAAUUUUAUAAAUAAUUUUAUAUAAAAUAUACUAAUAUAAAUAAAUUAUUUUAUUUUUAAAAACUUAUUUAGACAUUGCUUUAAACUUUUUACCCAAAAGCUACUAAAGAUAUCCUCCAAAAUAUCCUUGAAUGCAUCCAACAAUUUACUGUUGUUCUAACUUAUUAAGUUAUUAAUUUUUAAUUAGCUAAUUAAUUAUAACUAAUAAAUUAAUUAAUAAUUUAAUACUAUAAUUAAAAUUAAAUUUAGAUUUUAAUUAAACUUAUUCCCACUUGGAACAAGUAUGUUCUAGGAACAUGGGCAGAUGAUCAGUUACAGACUUAUACCAGCUUAUUUUAGAGAAAAAAGAAUAGCUGUUUCCAUCCUUUAAAUUUUGUAUUUGGGAAACAAGGGGGAUAACCCCUUAUUCCCCUCCCAUGUUCUCCAACCAAACAAGGCCGAACAACUUUAACGGGUUGUUCUAAAAUAACCUAUUUUAAUCGGAAUAACUUGUUCCAUUCAAUUCUUCUACCAUUUAGUUAAAAAUUGGGGGAUAUCCCUCGUUGUUCUGGGAUACCCCUGGUACUAAAUGCAAUCUUAGAUAUCGUUUGGUUUGGGGAUAAACAAAAAGUUGCUAUUCAAGGGAUAGGUAUAAAUUGAGGUAUAAGCGAGGAUUAAAUCAAUUUUACGUUUGGAUGAAAAUUGGGUUAUUCCUGGGAAUAAAAAAAAUAGCAUUUGGUUAGAUAAGAUGGAAUAAGAAUAAAACUGGGUAGUUAUAAAUAAAAAAUAAUGAUAUUAUCCCUCUCCUUAUAUUUGAAUUUGAAUUUUUAAAUUUUAUAUAUAUAUAUAUAUAUAGUAAUAUAAUAUAUAUAUAUAAUAUAUAUAUAUAUUUAAAAUUUAAAAUUUUAACUUUUAAAUUUCAAAUUUCAAAUUAAAUUUUAAAAUUCAAAAUCUCAAAAUUUAAAUUCAAAAUUUUAAAUUUUAAAUUUUAAUUUCAAACUUUAAAUUUAAGAUCAAAUUUAAAUUUGAAAUAUAAAAUAUAAAAAUUUAAAUUUUAAAAUUUAAAAUAUCAAAUUUUAAAUUUUAAAUUUAAAUUUUGAAAAUAAAAUAGGGUGAGAACCAAGUAAUGAAAAAUAAUUUAUUAUAAUAAAUUUAUAAAUUUGAUAAUAAUAAAUUUUUUAAUAAAUUUAUAAUUUUUUAUUAUUAAUUAAAUUAAUAAUUUUUUAAAAUUCUACUUAAACUUAAAUUUAAUAAAAAUAAUAUUUUAUAAUAUUUAAUUAUAAUUUAUUAUAAUAUUUAAUAUUUAAAUAUAAAUAAUAUGUAUUAAUAUAGUACAAUUGAUAAUUUUAUAAUAAAAAUAAUAUAUUAUAAUAUAUAACUUAUUAUAUUUAUAUAAUUUAGUUUUAAUUUAAUUUAUAAUUUUAAUAAAGUUUGAAAUUAAACAUUGGAAUAGCACUAUUCCAUCAAAAUGGUUGAAUAGUAAAUUUCUUGCUAUUCCGGGAUAGCCGGGAAUAGCAAGGUUUGACCGGGAUAAAAUAUCCCGACCAAAAAUCAUUUCGUUUGGCAGAAUAGCGAUAAUAACUUUCGUUAUCCCCGCUUAUACCGCCAACUAAACGGGGCCUUUUAGUGAAUUAGGAACAGCUUUAUUCUUCUCUUUAUUUUAUUAAAUAAAAAAUAUAUAAAUAAUUUAUUAAUAUAAAUAUUAUCUUUAGGAUAAUAUAUUUUUUACCUAAAUCUUAUUAUAUAAUAUAAAUUAACUAAAUUUGAUGUAUUAUUUAUUUUAUUACGUUUUAUCAUUUAUUUAUUAAAAUUUAACUAUUUCAUUUUAUAUUAAGCUCACUACAACAGAAUUAGGUUAUAGGAUAUAUGUUUGGGACACUUUUGUGUAAGUGUCAUAUUUAUGCAAAAACUUUAAAAAAAGUCUACUAAUGCCUAAAUAUAAAGUCCAAUCCAACCAAAAAUAAAAGUUUACUCUACUCAACCUACCCCACCCAGCCCAUUCGGCCCGAUUACAAACAGAAAAGAAAAAGAAAAGAAAAAUCGAUUACCAUUUCUCCUUCUCCCCUUACUCAAUCGACUGAAAUCCUAAACAAAGAUCCCUUCCUUUCGUCCUCCUCCGCCACCGCAGCCAAUGAGGUAGAGUUCCAACGGUUGUUAAAUGUUUAAAUAAGUGUUGGCAAAUUAGCAGCACUCUUUUUAGGUUAUAACGAUACUUUUUAACUGUCACUAUGUACCUAGCGACCCCACAGAAACACUUUUUUAAAGUGUCGGUAAUUUAAUCAGCAGCACUUUUUUUGACCUGUACCGACAUUUAAAAGUGUCGCUAUAGAUCAUUUUUGUUGUAGUAAAUUAUAUAUUAAACUAAUUUUUCAUAUAUUACAUAUUUCUCUUAAAUUUGUAUUGAAAUUUAUUUUAUUACUAACUAAUACUAUAAGAAUAUUGCUAGUAUUAUAUUUUAUUCAUUAGAUAUUAUUAUGAGUAAAUUAUAUAAAAUAAAUUGUUACAUAAAGUAAAUUAAAUAUAUUGAUAUAAACAUGUAACAUAAAAUAUUAUAUUAUAAAUUGUGACAUCAAAUAAUUCUAUAUAAAAUAUACUGAUAUAAAUUAAUUAUUUUAUUUUUUAAAUAUAUUUAGAUGUUGCUCUAUACUUUUUACCCAAACACUAUUAAAAAUAUUGUAACACCCUUAAGUUUGUAAUAGUACUAUAUAUAUGAGAUAUAAUAGAGCUAAAUCUCUUAACCUGACUAUAAUAUUUUGAACGGUGACUAGACCCAAAAUGUUAAGAAAGUUAAGCAUGUUAACGCUAGAGUAGUCCUAGGAUAGGUGAAUCCUUGAGAAGUAGGCCAUCACAAGUGGUAUUAAAGUCAAUCACCAGUCGAAACUGUGAGAUGAGUUUCGGCUUACCCGAAGUUAUAUAGUGGGCAGAGCACUACUCCCCAACUAACGAUCGUUGUGGAUGGAGUGCGGCUCCCUACAAGGUCGGUUAAGGCUAGCGAGACGUGUCUCAUAUUCCUUGGUGUUCAUCAGUGUAUUUGAGCCUGACAAGGACAUCAGGAUUUAAAGAGGAGAAGAAUGUAACACCCCUAGGAUUUUUAAUAGUCCAUAUAUGAGAUAUAAUAGGACUAAAUCUCUUAACCCAGCUAUAAUAUUUUAGACGGUGGCUAUACCCAAAAGGUUAAGGAAUUUAAGUAUAUUAGGGCUAGAGUAGUUUUAAGAUAGGAGAAUUCCUGAAAAGUGGGGCGUCAUAGUUGGUAUUAGAGCCGAUCACGAGCAGAAAAUGUGAAAUGAGUUUUGACUGAGCUAGAGUUAUAUAGCGGGUAGAGCGUGACUCCGCGAUUAACAAUCAUUGUGAAUAAAAUGCGGCUACCCACAAAGUCGUACAAAGGCUAGCGAAACGAGUCUUACAUCACCUAAUACUUGUGAGUAUGUUUGAGCCUGACGAGGAUAUCAGGGCUUAAAAGGGAGAGGAAUGUAACAUCUGUAGAAUUUAGAAUAAUCCUAUAUAAGAUAUAAUAGAGCUAAAAUCCUAACCCGCCUAUAGUAUUUUGGACGAUGGCUUGACCCAAGAGGUUAAGAAAGUUAAACGUGUUAGAGUUAAAGUGGUUCUAGAAUAAAUAACUUUAUGAAAAAUGGAUUGUUGUUCUAAUUCUUAGAAACAACGAAAGUUAUUCUCCAGAAUAUAAAUAUAGUUCUGAGACCAAAUGCAGCCUUAGGUUUUGUGGAUCACAUAAAUUGGAUUAGAAGUUACCAACCAUUUUGAAAAUUCGGGGUUCAAAACCCCAGCUACCUGGGCAGUACGAAAAGGAAAAAAAAGAGAAAAUAGAGAAAGAUUUUAUUUCUUUGGCUUUAUUUAGAAUUAUAGGGAGAGUGCAUUAUAUACUGUGAGAAAUGAUGGUGAGAAAAUAUAAUGGGAAAAAAAAAAAAAAAUCAUUUGGCUACUUAUAAGUUGUCGCCUUACGUGGAUCGCAACUAUGUAUUCAUCUCCUUACAUUUUUUUUUGUUGUUUAUAACACUAAGAAACAGAGCCCCCAACUCACUUUGGCCGAAUAAUAUUACAGAACUCUAAUAUUACUCAUCAAAUAUUUUGUGCGGUACCGUAGGGAGUGUACGUACAUACUAGGUUCAAAGCAACAAUUUCUCUUCUCAUACAUCUAUGUCCUCUUCGAUUAGGGUGUGUUUAUUUCACCAAAAGUAAAAGUUAAGAGAUGUGAAUUGAUUUUCAGCUAUAAAUAUUUAUUUUUAUUAUUUAGUUUAUCAUAAUUUCAACUUGGAUAAAAAUUAACUCAAAACUUUUCAAAAUUGUGUAAUUUACGAAUAAAAAAUAAGAAAAAAAAAAAAAAUGUUAACCCAUUUCCAGCUUGAAGAUUGGUACCUUAUAUAGGUCCCAGGUUCGAAUCUUUAUUACUUUACAUAUCUAGUUAAGUUCAUUUCUAAAAAAAAAAAAAAAAAAAUUAAAACGGAUAACAUACAAUCUCUCUCUCUCAAAAGAAAAAAAAAAAAAAUAUUCAUAUCUCGUAUCUUCAACUUGUGCGUCAUUCACUUUCUAUCAAACAAAUAGUAAAACUAAGUUCCUAAUCUACUAGAGCAAGUGGCAAAAGGUUUGGUGGUUGGUACCCGAGACCUAAAUUCGAAUCCUAGUUGAUUCACAUUUUCAGCUAAGUUUAUUUCUAAAUGAAAUAAACGAAGCGGGUAGCGUGCUGCUACCUAUCUNUUUCAUCUAAACUUUAAUUCCUUCCUAAUCUACUUCAACCUAAAAUUCGCUUUCACUAAAACAAAUAUAUCCUCACAAUUCUCUGGGCAAGCCCCUCGAUCCCACGAGAAAAGGUCAAAGAUCACCGACCGCCCCUAGAGCAAGUGGCAAAGGGCUUGAUGGUUGGUACCCGAGACCCAAGUUAAAAUCCUAGUUGAUUUAUAUUUCCAGCUAAGUUUAUUUCUAAAUGAAAAAAACGAAGCGGGUAGCGUGCUUCAAAAAA
RNAcentral lists this long non-coding RNA (6075 nucleotides) under Ananas comosus (pineapple). RNAcentral's name for it is "long non-coding RNA (ACOM_LNC005421)". The record is from RNAcentral. Lineage: Eukaryota; Viridiplantae; Streptophyta; Magnoliopsida; Poales; Bromeliaceae.